RNAcentral lists this long non-coding RNA (2946 nucleotides) under Homo sapiens (human). RNAcentral's name for it is "HSALNT0020958". Lineage: Eukaryota; Metazoa; Chordata; Mammalia; Primates; Hominidae. The record is from RNAcentral.
CCAAAUGAGGAGUCAUAUUUCUCAUUCCCUCAGCUUCUAAGGACUAGAUAAGGCAAACUGUGACGCAGAAAGAUAAUUAUGCAGACUGCUAGAGUUAUUGCUGGAAGUGCUUCAAGUUCUCAGCCUGAAAGUUGUCUUCACAGACCAUCGUACUCAUACUCUGACUUCUAGAUGGGGUAAUGGGGAAGCCAGGGGUGUCAGCUGUGACCCUCGAAGGAAAGGGAUCACCCUCUUUCUGACCCUAUACCACCUUCAGCAGGGAUGAAGGCAGUCAGAGAAAACUUAGUUAAAAAAUUUCUAAACUGCUUUGCUGAUUUGAUCUGGGGCCCUGGAGUGCCAACAUCCUGUGAUAGCGGCUGAUUGUUGAUGCCUGGGAGGAUACAGCAGUGACGAUCCAAAUUUACAAGACUCAACAUGGUUUUCAAAACUUCCUUUUAAAAAAGAUGUUCCUGAGUUCUGGAAUCUGAACAAAAUAUGUCUGGUUAUUAUAUAAUUCUAAUGGUCCUUGUGGAUGCUACCAUUAGAGUUCAGUUAGUGUCUCAUCUAUCACUGUAAUAUUUGUAUUGUAACACUAAUCGUGGCAAAGUAUGAUUUGAUAAAUGCUCAUUCUCAAAUCUUUUAUUUUAGUGUGUUCAUGUAAGAUUAAUGACCAUGAUGACUUGAGAUAGAAUUUUUUGAUUUGUUGCUUUCUUUGUGUCUUCCAAUAUCACACAGAUUUGCAAAGAUAUCUAUGGCACAAGGGGAGAAAAUAAUAACUUAACUAGAGGAUAGGAGUAAGGCCUUCUAUUAACAAGACACUGUUGACAUUUCUAGGUAGAUUUCAGAAUUCUCCAGGCAUGCCUGGUAGAAAUUUUAGAAAUAAAAGCCAGGAAAGAAAGGCAGAAAGACUAUGUUGGGACAUUAGCAAUUUCUUCCUACCACAAUAUUUCUUUAUUCACUGUAAGUAAAUCUAAUGCUAAUUUAUUUAUCUGUCUAUCCUUUGAAUUACAAUUUAAAAUGUCAUAAAACAAAGAUUCAGAUAAGAUAGCUGAUUUGCUCAUAUUGAACGUCACAUUGAUUUUCACCAUCUGAGGCCCAUUGACAUCGUAUGGAUAUUAGAGAACCUGGAAUCACCAAGAUGGGGUUCUCCCACUGUUGUCUUCAUGAUCCAUGAUCAUUUGUACACAGUAAAUAUUUAUUUGAGUACAAUGACUUUACAAAUGAUACAUGCAGAUUCUGUAUACAAGGCUGAGAGUGAGUAGACCCAAUUUCAAACAAAAGGUUAUAUAUGUGACCAGUGAGAGUUUUCUAUCAUUCUCUAGGAGGCUAGACUAGGCAGAGUGCAAUUUAGGCCCCUGUGUGGUAAGGUGAGUUUUAAAAUUCCUCCUUUAUUUUCUCACUUGUUUUGGACAGCCAGGACCCAAAACAAAGCUAUUUAUUUGAAACCUCUCUCCUCUCUCUCUUCUUCCUCUUUCAUCAAUUUGAUUCCCUUUUUAUUAUCAUUAUUUAUGUUUUGUAUAACUAGAAAAAUAAUUUGUCAUGGAUUACAUCUUAUUUGCAAGAGGCUCUAGUAAGAUGGCAACAAGGCAUGCACAAUAUAUCAUAAUUUAGCAGCUUCUCUUGUAACUAUACUAAACUAGUGGUGGAAGAAAAUACAUAUAAACAACUCCGACAACAGAUUUUGAAUGAUCCAGUAACUUUGAUUUAUAUUUGGUAUUUGAUGGAACUGUAUUAGCAGUUAAAGCCAAUGGCUAAAUGAUUCCCAACACAAAAUGAGUCAGAAGUACAAAAGAAGCUUUACAAUGCACAAUAGAGAGCUCUGAGCCUCCCAGCUUAAAUUUCCAAAUUGCAGUGUAAAUUACAGGACUGCUUGUCAAUUUUAACUAACAGUUCUACCCAAUAGGGUCUAGCUAGGUAAUUCAUCCAUUAUUCCUUUAUGAAACAGUAAACACCAGCUAAAUUCCAUUGGCUUUUCUAAAUAAAAUUGCCUCAUCUCUCAUAUCUACUGCAGAGAAGGAGUGAAUCAACCUCUGACGACAGUAAGUCCCACACAACAAACAACAUGUGAAACCUGGAAUUAGUUAAAAAUGCUUUCCAUAUUUGUUAAUAGAAUUGGGUGCCAAUCAUCUUGAGAUGAUCUCAACCUUCCCAAGUUCUUUUGGUGGAAGGACUCUCACAUUCUUCUAUUUCCCCUCCUUACCCUAUAUUUUCUCUCAUCCCCAAAUAACUAUUUUCUCUUCACUUGUUUCCUCUAUGGCUUUCCCUGUCACAAAGAAGAAAUGAAUGAAAGAUUUGGAAGUCAAAAUCUAGCACUCCAAUUACCAACAUUAGCAGGAAGAGAAGAAUGUUCCAAAUAUCAACAAGAAUCUCAAAUCUAACCAAGCAAAAUAUGCAAUUAUGUAGGCAGAUGCUGGCUCAUCAGCCACUGAUAUAGACUGAUUUCUACCACUUCAUUAAUUUGACUUUCUUACUCUGGGCAAUUUGAUCAUACCCAUACAGCAUAUUUCUUAGCCAGAAAUAGAUUUGAUUGUUCUAGGCCAGGUGGGAAAGCCAAUAGAUUUGCACAAAUGCUUCACAGGGCAUCUGUAUUAUAGCAGGGAUGUGGGAAGUUUUAUUGUAGAGUUUGGAAGUGGACUGCUGAAUUCUCUUCCUUUAACCUAAUCAUGUCAUUCACGUGUGGAGCAUAGUCAGUCUUUACAUGUAUCUAUUGGUCUUUAUUGUUCAAUUUUUUUUUUUUUUUUUGAGAUGGAAUCUUGCUCUGUCACCCAGGCUGGAGUGCAGUGGCAUGAUCUCAGCUCACUGCAAAUUCCACCCACCAGAUUCAAGUGAUUCUCAUGCCUUAUCCUCUUGAGUAGUUGAGAUUACAGGUGCAUAUUGUCACACCUGGCUAAUUUUCGUAUUUUUAGUAGAGACGAGGUUUUGCCAUGUUGGCCAUGCUAGUCUGAAACUCCUGAACUCAAGUGAUCC